This is a transfer RNA of Ovis aries (sheep), 83 nucleotides long. It matches the Rfam family "tRNA". Rfam says of the family: Transfer RNA (tRNA) molecules are approximately 80 nucleotides in length. Their secondary structure includes four short double-helical elements and three loops (D, anti-codon, and T loops). The record is from Rfam. NCBI's taxonomy places the organism in Eukaryota, Metazoa, Chordata, Mammalia, Artiodactyla, Bovidae.
GGUAGUGAGGCUGAGCGGUCUAAGGCACUGGAUUAAGGCUCCAGUCUCUUUGGGGGACGUGGAUUCAUGUCCCACUGCUGCCA